AUUGCAAGCAGGUUAAAUAGAUUACUAGAUGUAGUGAAUGGAGAGAGGGGAAGAGACAAUUAAUCAAUAUAAACUCAAGAGACUUUAUAGUGGUUCGGAGCCAACUCUUGCUCCUACGUCCACUCCCCAAGCCGCACUUGGGAGUUCACUAUAAUCCCUAGGAUUACAGCCGGUUGUUUUACAAGUUCACAACCCAACUUGUU
This 203-nucleotide long non-coding RNA is filed under the name Phoenix dactylifera (date palm). RNAcentral describes it as "long non-coding RNA (PDAC_LNC009213)". Lineage: Eukaryota; Viridiplantae; Streptophyta; Magnoliopsida; Arecales; Arecaceae. The record is from RNAcentral.